This 230-nucleotide ribosomal RNA is filed under the name uncultured bacterium. RNAcentral describes it as "partial 16S ribosomal RNA". It matches the Rfam family "Bacterial small subunit ribosomal RNA", at positions 562 to 791 of the family's 1533-position model. The record is from RNAcentral.
AAAGGGUGCGUAGGCGGCUUGUUAAGUCAGGGGUGAAAGGCGGUAGCUUAACUAUCGGAGUGCCUUUGAUACUGACGAGCUUGAAUGCAGCUGAGGUAGGCGGAAUGUGACAAGUAGCGGUGAAAUGCAUAGAUAUGUCACAGAACACCGAUUGCGAAGGCAGCUUACUAAAGUGUGAUUGACGCUGAGGCACGAAAGCGUGGGGAUCAAACAGGAUUAGAUACCCUAGU